CUCCCCCCACCCCCUGCUAUUUCUUUCGCAAAGUGGCAGAAUUUGUAAACAUAACCACGCAACUUGUGGGGCUGAGGGGGGCGAGGCUUGGGAGAGUGAGCUAGUAGGUCCAGUUGAAUGACAAGGAGAUCUAGGGGUAGGGGUGGGCCGAGAGACUGCGGGCAGCUCUGGUUUGAGCUGAAUUGUCAAGACAAAGUGUGGGUUGCAGCAUUAUUUAUGUUAUUCUCCACAACAUCAGUUACAGCUCUUGUUACUAUUAUGAGUUGACUGAAUACUCAACCUCAGCAAGGGCACCUUUCCAGAGAGGGUCUGCUUCUGAGCUAAAGAUAACUCGACCCACACUAUUUGCCCCCUAAAGCUGCAACUCAGUUGCCCUGAGUGGAGGUGAGGUCACUAAAUUAGGGACUGUUGUCAGGUGGAGCAGAGAGAAUCUGGUUUCCCUUUCUUUUUCUUAUGAACGCUGCUCCCCCCCCACAGAUACUCCGCUGGCCUGAGUUUUUUUUUUUUUAAACAUUAUAUAUGUAUAAAAUCCCUGCGUGCACACAAGUUUACUGCAGACCUGUUAAGAGUUCUUCAUUUUUUCCCUCCAUCUACAGCCCACCCUUGUGGACCAGCUUGAGGAUGCACUUUUAUUAUCCCCCUCCGAGGAGUUAAUCGGUAUGAAUGUCUGUGUGCGCGUGAUAUUCGUCCCCCCUCUUGCCUCCAAUAACCUUCCUCUCUCCUCACCUGUCUGACUACAGGUUUGGACGGUGUCUGGAGCUGAUUGCAAUGAAUCUCACUCGGGGUCAAGCCCACAAUCUCUGGGAGUUGAUGGGUCAUCUUGGAGAACACCCCUUCCCAAUUUCCCUUGCAGCUGGUUUGCAACCCUUUGGCUUUCAGGCGCUCAGCGAUGUUCCCAAGCCUGGAUUCUCUGCGCAUGGCACCAGUAAAACUGUGCUUUGGCUUCUAAUUCACUCAUUUCACCAAGUCAUUUAGGGCUCCUAUGACUAGGAUGUGAAGUAAGUGGGAAUCAUCAGAAAAAUGCCAUUACACACCCUUACACACCUCCCAGAAAUUGCAGAAUGUGGGAGUGUGGGGGGGGGCAUGAAGUGGGAGCAGACGAAUAAAGCAACCUAUAGCCUCUUAUUUUGAGUCACCAUCAUCAGGAAGAAGUCUUUCAAACCCGCUGGCGGGAAGGUGUGGGAGCCUGAGAAUGGAGACCCAGAGAGUAGCCAGCCUCUGCAGGGAAAGACGCAUCCAGGGCGGGGCUAAACAGAGGCUGGCUCCAACCCCGCCCCCUGGUGCUCAGAACUGAACUAGCUAAGGACCAAGGAUUUUUCAGCACCUAUCUUCCGUGGACAGCGACCGAAUCCUGGGCCAAACCCAGAACAGAUCUUGGGCCUUGGGUUUCCGGACUGGAGCGAGCGGGGAGUAAUUCACUACGAGGGGGUUGGAGAAAAUAGACUCAAGAAGACAGCGCGGAGCAGCCGCCUUGAGUCUCCUUUGCCAGCCUGCGUCAGUCAUCAGCUACUGACGUCACGUGCAGAUUCUCCUCUUUGGUGGGUCUGGUUUAGCGGAGAAGAGGCUUCUGCUCAGAGACAGCGCUUUGUGUUCGGCGCAGCCACUGAGCAGGCGAGGCGGCCGAGGCGGGCGCCACCCUAGGCUUGGGCUGGGCAGCUGCAGAGGAGGCUGCAGCCUAGUCUGCACCCAGCGUGCUGGGCCCGGAGGGGCGGGCCCAGCAGGACAGCCCCCUCCCCAAAUCCCCCCCACGCCCCUCCGCCCAAAGCAAACUCCGCGGUGCACAGACUCCGGCGCGAGUCCUUUCCCCGCCCUUUCGCAUCUGGCCACUGUAGCAGAGACAGCUAUGGCUAUAACUCGGAUUAAUUCUGUGUGUUUGUCGGGCAGAUAGCCCCAGCUCCUCGAGUGACGCAAAUAAAAGAUUCUACAGCUCCC
This is a long non-coding RNA of Ictidomys tridecemlineatus (thirteen-lined ground squirrel), 1932 nucleotides long. RefSeq lists it as uncharacterized. The record is from RefSeq and is a predicted model, not a curated record. Lineage: Eukaryota; Metazoa; Chordata; Mammalia; Rodentia; Sciuridae.